RNAcentral lists this ribosomal RNA (467 nucleotides) under uncultured bacterium. RNAcentral's name for it is "partial 16S ribosomal RNA". It matches the Rfam family "Bacterial small subunit ribosomal RNA", at positions 28 to 507 of the family's 1533-position model. The record is from RNAcentral.
GACGAACGCUGGCGGCGUGCUUAACACAUGCAAGUCGAACGGAAAGGCCUCUUUCUGGGGGUACUCGAGUGGCGAACGGGUGAGUAACACGUGAGUAACCUGCCCUUGUCUUUGGGUUAACCUCAGGAAACUGGGGCUAAUACCGGAUAGGAGCUCCUGCUGCAUGGUGGGGGUUGGAAAGUUUCGGCGUUUGGGGAUGGACUCUCGGCUUAUCAGCUUGUUGGUGGGGUAUUGGCUUACCAAGGCUUUGACGGGGAGCCGGCCUGAGAGGGUGACCGGCCACAUUGGGACUGAGAUACGGCACAGACUGCUACGGGAGGCAGCAGUGGGGAAUAUUGCCCGAUGGGUGGAAGCCUGAUGCAGCAACGCCGUGUGCGGGAUGACGGCCUUCGGGUUGUAAAACGCUUUUGCUCAUGACGAAGCUUUGUGUGACGGUAGUGGGUCAAGAAGCCACGGCUAACUACGUG